UCCAUGUACUCCUGAUAUGAUCUUGACAAAACUUCAGCUCGAAUUUCGAUUCACGAUCAGGAUUAAAUCAUUUUACGCAUCUCUAUCUUUCCCCUCUCUCUCAGCCGCGAGGAACCUUUGGAAGAAGAUCUCAAAACAAACAGAUCUGUACAAUUAGUUAAAUGAACGUCGACAUACACUAAUGGAAGAAUUUGCUAAGGAGUAUAUGCAUGGAAAUAAUGCUCCUGAACUUGAAGGGGAGAACUGACUGGGGAAGCUGGUGUUGAUGACGACGGUGAAGUUCCUGACAUCUCUAAAUGAGAAUGUAUAAUAUGGCUUGCAAUUUUGACAGCUUAAGUGGAUCUCAGUCCUCUGUGAAUACCUGGUUCAAGUGACAAGGUAAACCAUUUUUAUUUCACUAUAUAAGAUGUACUUAUUUGUACACCAGUUUUACGCGGUGUACUUUUUAGUGCACCAGUUUUAUCAUACUAGUUGUAUGUCGUGCACUUUGUUUCUGCAUUGAUUAUGUUCUAGAAAUUAUGAAACUAGUAUUUGCAUUCGAACUUAUCUACUACAGUGAUCUUAUGACAUUCAAGGGUUUUGUUAUGUAUUUUUUGCUUUUGGAUACGUAUUACAAAAUUUUAAAUUUUUAUACAGUGGAUUUUUUGAUUUUAGCACAAUUUAGUAGAACUGUAGAAUGGAUAAAUGAUGUUUGUGCUAUAUUGGGCUUUCUAUAAUGUUUGUUAAAUGGUAUUGUUGUCGUGCUUUUGCACCACUAAGACGUGGGUGACUUUUUAAUGAUUUCAAUGUUGUUUUUGCUAUCGGAAUCAAUUUGUCGAAACCAUGACUCAAAGAUGGUUCUAUUGCAAGCGAUUGCUCAUCGUUUUUUAAUCCCGGGGACAUGUACGUACUACCUAAAGAUGAUCGAGAAGAAUAAGCAAUUCAACUGUUCUGGCGAGCAUUAAUGCUUGCAGUCUCCUGAAAGCUUGAGAAAGGCUCUUAGGGAGAUCAGUUCCAUGUACGCCAAACAAGAGACUUUCUCAAGAUUUACAGAGAUGGAACCUGCAACUGUUGAGAAAUGUUGUGGAUUUUCAAAGCAAUGGUUUGACACUUGGCUUGCAGGGUGUAAUGAAGGUCAAAGAUGAUAGAUAGUCCCCAACUUAUGUUGCUAUGCUUGCAGCCCAAGAUGCUGCAACACAGUGUAAGAAGAUGGAUAGCGUGAACGACGUUUUGGUAUAUUUGUUCGGAACCCCUUAUGGAUAUGUUGCAUGUUAUGUGGGCCUGAAUGUUGGAUUUUCUGGAUUUUUACAACGGUGUACAUAGUUGUACACAACAGUGUAAAUUAGAAUUCUACAAAAAUGAAAAUUACGUAGUCAUAUGGGUACUCUUUUUGUAGAUUUCGGAAAGAGCUUUCCAAAUAUCUAAAGUUUGUGAAUU
Molecule: long non-coding RNA, 1416 nt
Organism: Papaver somniferum (opium poppy)
Lineage: Eukaryota; Viridiplantae; Streptophyta; Magnoliopsida; Ranunculales; Papaveraceae
Exons: 6
Source: RefSeq, a predicted model, not a curated record